RNAcentral lists this ribosomal RNA (440 nucleotides) under uncultured bacterium. RNAcentral's name for it is "partial 16S ribosomal RNA". It matches the Rfam family "Bacterial small subunit ribosomal RNA", at positions 338 to 795 of the family's 1533-position model. The record is from RNAcentral.
CCUACGGGUGGCAGCAGUGGGGAAUAUUGGACAAUGGGGGAAACCCUGAUCCAGCGACGCCGCGUGAGUGAAGAAGUAUUUCGGUAUGUAAAGCUCUAUCAGCAGGGAAGAAAAUGACGGUACCUGACUAAGAAGCCCCGGCUAACUACGUGCCAGCAGCCGCGGUAAUACGUAGGGGGCAAGCGUUAUCCGGAUUUACUGGGUGUAAAGGGAGCGUAGACGGUAGAGCAAGUCUGAUGUGAAAGGUACGGGCCUAACCCAGGGACUGCAUUGGAAACUGUUUAACUGGAGUGCAGGAGAGGUAAGCGGAAUUCCUAGUGUAGCGGUGAAAUGCGUAGAUAUUAGGAGGAACACCAGUGGCGAAGGCGGCUUACUGGACUGUAACUGACGUUGAGGCUCGAAAGCGUGGGGAGCAAACAGGAUUAGAUACCCCUGUAGUC